CUUGCUUCUUUGCUGACGAGUGGCGGACGGGUGAGUAAUGUCUGGGAAACUGCCUGAUGGAGGGGGAUAACUACUGGAAACGGUAGCUAAUACCGCAUAACGUCGCAAGACCAAAGAGGGGGACCUUCGGGCCUCUUGCCAUCGGAUGUGCCCAGAUGGGAUUAGCUAGUAGGUGGGGUAACGGCUCACCUAGGCGACGAUCCCUAGCUGGUCUGAGAGGAUGACCAGCCACACUGGAACUGAGACACGGUCCAGACUCCUACGGGAGGCAGCAGUGGGGAAUAUUGCACAAUGGGCGCAAGCCUGAUGCAGCCAUGCCGCGUGUAUGAAGAAGGCCUUCGGGUUGUAAAGUACUUUCAGCGGGGAGGAAGGGAGUAAAGUUAAUACCUUUGCUCAUUGACGUUACCCGCAGAAGAAGCACCGGCUAACUCCGUGCCAGCAGCCGCGGUAAUACGGAGGGUGCAAGCGUUAAUCGGAAUUACUGGGCGUAAAGCGCACGCAGGCGGUUUGUUAAGUCAGAUGUGAAAUCCCCGGGCUC
This 538-nucleotide ribosomal RNA is filed under the name uncultured bacterium. Its description in RNAcentral is "bacterial SSU rRNA". It matches the Rfam family "Bacterial small subunit ribosomal RNA", at positions 75 to 610 of the family's 1533-position model. The record is from RNAcentral.